Patella vulgata (common limpet) is the source of this 1440-nucleotide long non-coding RNA. RefSeq lists it as uncharacterized. The transcript is spliced from 3 exons. Lineage: Eukaryota; Metazoa; Mollusca; Gastropoda; Patellidae. The record is from RefSeq and is a predicted model, not a curated record.
UAAUUCAUAUUUGAAUCAUUUAUUCAAUCUAAAUAAGAUAUGCGUUUUGAGUUUAUUCAUGUAAAUAUAUACCAAGGCUUUGUGUUUUGCUUCAAAAGCUAGUAGAUACAAUAUAUGCAUAAGUGCAUUUCUUCUAACACGCAUAAACACUACUACAACUUUUGGCAAAUGGUACAAGUUAUUUGAUUGGAUGAUUCACUGUGACGAGAAAUCGUAUGAUUUCCCAGGGUGUCUUGAAACAACGACUUCGGAGAAAUAUUUGGAAUAGGUCGGAAAUCUUUAUGCCAAACUGGUGAACCAAACUCUGUUGAAAUGAAGAGUCUACCAACAACAAAGUAAGAACUUGUAUUGUAAAGAAAUCUGGUCAAAUGAUUUGACUCCAGAUGUGUCUACCUCCUACACUGAGCACAAGUACAAAACUAUACACCAUCAACGACAUACAGCUUGAAGAAUUGGUACAUGGACAAUAACAUCGUGCUGAUGAAAGGCGAAAAUUUCCUAUGGACAGAACAUAUUGUAUGGGACGUGGCUUUAAUGGAAGGUUUGGCACAUUGUAAUAUUAUUUAAACAAGAGAAAUAAUUAUAGUAACACCAUAUGUCUAUUUUUUUCGCAUCCUUUCGUGUUUUUAUCAUGUAUUUUAUUUUUAAAAUAUAGUUUAAAAUUCAGUUAACGCGGACAUUAAUUUAAAAGGACUCGCCUAUAUCGAUAAAGCUAAUUUGACUAUGCAAGUAGACCAAGCAUGCUGUGGGUUAAAUUUGCGAUAUGUCGGUUGAUCCAUGACCAAUAUGCUGUUCAAAAAUCAAGACAACUCAACAGAAUAUAAUGAGGUUUACACCUCACACUGUACUUAGGAUAAUCUUAAUCUUGAAACAGAGUAAUUAUAUUUUUCCGUAUGUGACUUCUAUGAGAAUAAAAAAUGAAUCAGAUUUGAAUCCCGGCAUGGACAGAGUCGGACAUUCAGGUUUUUUGGGUUUUUUUUUCAAAUACCGGUUAUCACUUAUCAGGGACAAUGCCUGGUGGUGUUGACAAGUAAUGUUCGUCUAAUAGGGACACAAAUAUGAGUUCUGGGAAGAUUAUGCGGAAAUGCUGCUUCCCGGGCAAAGUGCUCUUUUGCAUAUCAAGAUACAACUAAUAUUACUCUAAGUGUGUCUCAGAAAGUAUUGUGUUGAACACUAUUACAUUUCUUCUUUCUGCGAGGAAGAUUUGGCCAGGGCAGUGGCGUUUCCACUUACAUCCCAACAAACUCCAUAAAGAUGCAUAAAAGUAUUCAUUUUCUACAAGGUUGUUUCAAAUUCCUUUAAGUUAGAAUGACUGUUGGGUGUAUAGCUUAUAGUAUAACAAAGAUGUUAUUAUAUAAAAUGAUUGUACGGUGAUGUUUUACAAUGAUAAAACGUACGGAGAUUGUUUAUUUUAUGAAUAAAGUUUGAUGUUCAGUCUAA